GCAAGCCUGAUCCAGCAAUGCCGCGUGCAGGAAGAAGGCCUUCGGGUUGUAAACUGCUUUUGUACGGAACGAAACGGUCCUGGUUAAUACCCGGGGCUAAUGACGGUACCGUAAGAAUAAGCACCGGCUAACUACGUGCCAGCAGCCGCGGUAAUACGUAGGGUGCAAGCGUUAAUCGGAAUUACUGGGCGUAAAGCGUGCGCAGGCGGUUUUGUAAGACAGGCGUGAAAUCCCCGGGCUCAACCUGGGAAUUGCGCUUGUGACUGCAAAGCUGGAGUGCGGCAGAGGGGGAUGGAAUUCCGCGUGUAGCAGUGAAAUGCGUAGAUAUGCGGAGGAACACCGAUGGCGAAGGCAAUCCCCUGGGCCUGCACUGACGCUCAUGCACGAAAGCGUGGGGAGCAAACAGGAUUAGAUACCCUGGUAGUCCACGCCCUAAACGAUGUCAACUGGUUGUUGGGUCUUUUGACUCAGUA
RNAcentral lists this ribosomal RNA (473 nucleotides) under uncultured bacterium. RNAcentral describes it as "bacterial SSU rRNA". It matches the Rfam family "Bacterial small subunit ribosomal RNA", at positions 377 to 845 of the family's 1533-position model. The record is from RNAcentral.